RNAcentral lists this ribosomal RNA (468 nucleotides) under uncultured bacterium. Its description in RNAcentral is "partial 16S ribosomal RNA". It matches the Rfam family "Bacterial small subunit ribosomal RNA", at positions 28 to 507 of the family's 1533-position model. The record is from RNAcentral.
GACGAACGCUGGCGGCGUGCUUAACACAUGCAAGUCGAACGGAAAGGCCCUGCUUUUGUGGGGUUCUCGAGUGGCGAACGGGUGAGUAACACGUGAGUAACCUGCCCUUGACUUUGGGAUAACUUCAGGAAACUGGGGCUAAUACCGGAUAGGAGCUCCUGCUGCAUGGUGGGGGUUGGAAAGUUUCGGCGGUUGGGGAUGGACUCGCGGCUUAUGAGCUUGUUGGUGGGGUAGGGGCUUACCAAGGCUUUGACGGGUAGGCGGCCUGAGAGGGGUGACGGCGACAAGGGGACUGAGGUACGCCGCAGUCUCGUACGGGCGGCAGCAGGGGGGAAUAUUGCACAAUGGCGGGGAGUCUGUUACGACGGCGCCGCGUGCGUGAUAACGGGCUUCGGGUUAUGAACCGCUUUGGCCUGUGACGAAGCGUGAGUGACGGUAAUGGGUAAAGAAGCAACGGCUAACUACGUG